This 497-nucleotide ribosomal RNA is filed under the name uncultured bacterium. RNAcentral describes it as "partial 16S ribosomal RNA". It matches the Rfam family "Bacterial small subunit ribosomal RNA", at positions 28 to 507 of the family's 1533-position model. The record is from RNAcentral.
GAUGAACGCUGGCGGCGUGCCUAAUACAUGCAAGUCGAGCGAACAGAUGAGGAGCUUGCUCCUCUGACGUUAGCGGCGGACGGGUGAGUAACACGUGGAUAACCUACCUAUAAGACUGGGAUAACUUCGGGAAACCGGAGCUAAUACCGGAUAAUAUAUUGAACCGCAUGGUUCAAUAGUGAAAGACGGUUUUGCUGUCACUUAUAGAUGGAUCCGCGCCGCAUUAGCUAGUUGGUAAGGUAACGGCUUACCAAGGCAACGAUGCGUAGCCGACCUGAGAGGGUGAUCGGCCACACUGGAACUGAGACACGGUCCAGACGCCUACGGGAGGCAGCAGUAGGGAAUCGUCCGCAAUGGGCGAAAGCCUGACGGAGCAACGCCGCGUGAGUGAUGAAGGUCUUCGGAUCGUAAAACUCUGUUAUUAGGGAAGAACAAAUGUGUAAGUAACUAUGCACGUCUUGACGGUACCUAAUCAGAAAGCCACGGCUAACUACGUG